GUAUUGUUCUUCGAAUCUUUAUUGUUGGAAUGCAUUAACGAUGCAUUCCAAGUAUUGUUCUUCGAAUCUUUAUUGUUGGAAUGCAUUGAGAUGCAUUCCAAGUAUUGUUCUUCGAAUCUUUAUUUCCGACUUAUUAUUAUGUUUCUUCUAUUUCUUCCGCGCCGCCUUUCAACUCCUUCACAUUUUCAGCUAUUAAAAUCCUUCAAAUAUUAAAAUGUUCAGCUUCUUUCUGGCUUGAGGGCUAUGACUUUUCAGCUUUCUACCUCUUAAGCUUGAAUUUAUAUAAAUCAAUAAUCAUUAAUAUUUUAACAUGGUUUUCAAAUGGAGUUUGCUUUCAAAUCCUCCUAAACUUCUUCAACUUUCAGAUUUUUCAGCUUCGCCAAUCUUUCAGCUACAGACACCAUUUAAACUUUCAAAUGUUGACACAAGUCUCAACUAUUUUAUGAAAAAAACUGCUUGUUGAUAUCUAUUGUACUUUUUUCAUAAUCACUGAUUAUGUUUCACUAGUUUUUCGCUCCGUUUCUGACUUUUACAUGAGUGUGUAUUGCGUCUGCUAGAGUGGAGAGCUCGCGGGCUAGAGUGUGGGGCAUCGCAGGAAUCUGGUUAAAAAAUAUGGAACUUCUGUCCUUGCAGCCAAAGUAUACACUCUAGAGGCUUCAUUUCUUCAGAUUAAUG
Long non-coding RNA from Gasterosteus aculeatus aculeatus (three-spined stickleback), 675 nucleotides. The record is from Ensembl. Lineage: Eukaryota; Metazoa; Chordata; Actinopteri; Perciformes; Gasterosteidae.